Molecule: ribosomal RNA, 231 nt
Filed under: uncultured bacterium
Lineage: Bacteria
Description: partial 16S ribosomal RNA
Rfam family: Bacterial small subunit ribosomal RNA
Source: RNAcentral
AGUAACACGUGGGUAACCUGCCCCGAUGAUUGGGACAACCCGAGGAAACUCGGGCUAAUACCGAAUGUGCCCUACAGCUUCAAGGCUGGUGGGGAAAGGAAGCUUCGGCCUCCGCAUCGGGAUGGGCCCGCGGCCCAUUAGCUUGUUGGUGAGGUAACGGCUCACCAAGGCGACGAUGGGUAGCUGGUCUGAGAGGACGAUCAGCCACACUGGGACUGAGACACGGCCCAG